UCUUAUAUCCCGAGUAGCAUGGGGCACGUGGAAUCCCGUGUGAAUCUGCGAGGACCACCUCGUAAGGCUAAAUAUUCCUGGAUGUCCGAUAGCGAAGAGUACCGCGAGGGAAAGGUGAAAAGAACCCCGGGAGGGGAGUGAAAUAGAACGUGAAAUUGCAAGCCCACAAACAGAAGAAGAACGACUUAGCGUUUUACUUCGUGCCUGUUGAAGAAUGUUCCGGCGACUUAAAGUUAGUGGCAUGGUUAAGAUAGAGAUAUUGGAGCCAUAGUGAAAGCGAGCUUGAAAAGAGCGUUAAUUGUCACUAGUUUUAGACCCGAACCCGGUUGAUCUAACCAUGGCCAGGAUGAAACUUAGGUAACACUGAAUGGAGGUCCGAACCGACUGAUGUUGAAAAAUCAGCGGAUGAGUUGUGGUUAGGGGUGAAAUGCCAAUCGAAACCGGAGCUAGCUGGUUCUCCCCGAAAUGUAUUUAGGUGCAGCGGUUAAUCUUUUAGCGUAGGGGUAAAGCACUGUUUCGGUGCGGGCUAGUAACUUGGUACCAAAUCGAGGCAAACUCUGAAUACUACGUGUAUAAUUAACCAGUAAGACUAUGGGGGAUAAGCUUCAUAGUCAAGAGGGAAACAGCCCAGAUCACCAGCUAAGGCCCCUAAAUAAUUACUAAGUGAUAAAGGAAGUGGAAGGGCUUUGACAACCAGGAGGUUUGCUUAGAAGCAGCAAUCCUUUAAAAAGUGCGUAAUAGCUUACUGGUCUAGCAAUUCUGCGCCGAAAACUUAUGGGACUAAGUAAUUUGCCGAAGCUGUGAGAUAUUAAUUUUUUAAUAUCGGUAGGGGAGCGUUCUGCGGUAGAUUGAAGUGUUAGCGAAAGCGGGCAUGGACGAAACAGAAGUGAGAAUGUCGGAUUGAGUAGCGAAAACAUUGGUGAGAAUCCAAUGCUCCGAAAACCUAAGGUUUCCUCCGCAAGGCUCGUCCACGGAGGGUGAGUCAGGACCUAAGGUGAGGCUGAGAAGCGUAGCUGAUGGACAAUAGGUUAAUAUUCCUAUACUGAUUUUUACUGGUAUCGAGGGACGAAGAAGGCUAAACUAGCCAGAGAUUGGUUACUGGUUUAAAUUUUCGAGGUGUUGAAGGUUAGUGAAAAUAACUUGAGCUGAGAAAUGAAUACAAGAUUUUAAAAAUCAAAGUAGUUGAUGUCAUACUUCCAAGAAAAGCUCGCUAUGCCUUAAGUAAAAGUCACCUGUACCUUAAACCGACACAGGUAGGUAGGUAGAGAAUACCAAGGAGCGCGGGAGAACCCUCCUUAAGGAACUCGGCAAAAUAACUCUGUAACUUCGGAAGAAAGAGUGCCUUUUAGGCUGCAAUAUCAAGUUCCAAGCAACUGUUUAGCAAAAACACAGGUCUCCGCUAAGUUGUAAAACGACGUAUGGAGGCUGACGCCUGCCCAGUGCUGGAAGGUUAAAGAAGUCGGUUAGCGUAAGCAAAGCUGGUAACUGAAGCCCCAGUGAACGGCGGCCGUAACUAUAACGGUCCUAAGGUAGCGAAA
This 1538-nucleotide ribosomal RNA is filed under the name Synura leptorrhabda. Its description in RNAcentral is "partial large subunit ribosomal RNA". It matches the Rfam family "Bacterial large subunit ribosomal RNA", at positions 399 to 1964 of the family's 2925-position model. The record is from RNAcentral. Lineage: Eukaryota; Synurophyceae; Synurales; Mallomonadaceae.